RNAcentral lists this ribosomal RNA (588 nucleotides) under uncultured bacterium. RNAcentral describes it as "partial 16S ribosomal RNA". It matches the Rfam family "Bacterial small subunit ribosomal RNA", at positions 355 to 937 of the family's 1533-position model. The record is from RNAcentral.
UGGGGAAUUUUGGACAAUGGGCGCAAGCCUGAUCCAGCCAUGCCGCGUGCGGGAAGAAGGCCUUCGGGUUGUAAACCGCUUUUGUCAGGGAAGAAAUCUUCUGAGUUAAUACCUCGGGAGGAUGACGGUACCUGAAGAAUAAGCACCGGCUAACUACGUGCCAGCAGCCGCGGUAAUACGUAGGGUGCAAGCGUUAAUCGGAAUUACUGGGCGUAAAGCGUGCGCAGGCGGUUUUGUAAGACAGAGGUGAAAUCCCCGGGCUCAACCUGGGAACUGCCUUUGUGACUGCAAGGCUUGAGUGCGGCAGAGGGGGAUGGAAUUCCGCGUGUAGCAGUGAAAUGCGUAGAUAUGCGGAGGAACACCGAUGGCGAAGGCAAUCCCCUGGGCCUGCACUGACGCUCAUGCACGAAAGCGUGGGGAGCAAAACAGGAUUAGAUACCCUGGUAGUCCACGCCCUAAAACGAUGUCAACUGGUUGUUGGGAAGGUUCCUUCUCAGUAACGUAGCUAACGCGUGAAGUUGACCGCCGGGGGAGUACGGCCGCAAGGGUUGAAAACUCAAAUGAAUUGACGGGGUCAUAGCUGUUUCC